GAUGAACGCUGGCGGUGUGCCUAAUACAUGCAAGUCGAGCGAACAGACGAGGAGCUUGCUCCUCUGACGUUAGCGGCGGACGGGUGAGUAACACGUGGAUAACCUACCUAUAAGACUGGGAUAACUUCGGGAAACCGGAGCUAAUACCGGAUAAUAUAUUGAACCGCAUGGUUCAAUAGUGAAAGACGGUUUUGCUGUCACUUAUAGAUGGAUCCGCGCCGCAUUAGCUAGUUGGUAAGGUAACGGCUUACCAAGGCAACGAUGCGUAGCCGACCUGAGAGGGUGAUCGGCCACACUGGAACUGAGACACGGUCCAGACUCCUACGGGAGGCAGCAGUAGGGAAUCUUCCGCAAUGGGCGAAAGCUUGACGGAGCAACGCCGCGUGAGUGAUGAAGGUCUUCGGAUCGUAAAACUCUGUUAUUAGGGAAGAACAAAUGUGUAAGUAACUAUGCACGUCUUGACGGUACCUAAUCAGAAAGCCACGGCUAACUACGUG
Molecule: ribosomal RNA, 497 nt
Filed under: uncultured bacterium
Lineage: Bacteria
Description: partial 16S ribosomal RNA
Rfam family: Bacterial small subunit ribosomal RNA
Source: RNAcentral